GACGAACGCUGGCGGCGUGCUUAACACAUGCAAGUCGAACGGAAAGGCCCUGCUUUUGUGGGGUGCUCGAGUGGCGAACGGGUGAGUAACACGUGAGUAUCCUGCCCUUGACUUUGGGAUAACUUAAGGAAGCUGGGGCUAAUACCGGAUAGGAGCUCCUGCUGCAUGGUGGGCGUUGGAAAGUUUCGGCGGUUGGGGAUGGACUCGCGGCUUAUCAGCUUGUUGGUGGGGUAGUGGCUUACCAAGUCUUUGACGGGUAGCCGGCCUGGGAGGGUGGCCGGGGACAAUGGGACUAAGGGAGGGACCAGACUGCAACGGGAGGCAGCGGUGGGAAGUAUUACACAGUGGGCGGAAGCCUGAGGCAGCAACGCCGGGUGCGGAAUGACGGCCUUCGGGGUGUGAACCGCUUUCGCCUGUGACGAAGCGUGAGUGACGGUAAUGAAUAAAGAAGCACCGGCUAACUACGUG
Molecule: ribosomal RNA, 468 nt
Filed under: uncultured bacterium
Lineage: Bacteria
Description: partial 16S ribosomal RNA
Rfam family: Bacterial small subunit ribosomal RNA
Source: RNAcentral